CGGGACACGUGGUAUCCUGUCUGAAUAUGGGGGGACCAUCCUCCAAGGCUAAAUACUCCUGACUGACCGAUAGUGAACCAGUACCGUGAGGGAAAGGCGAAAAGAACCCCGGCGAGGGGAGUGAAAAAGAACCUGAAACCGUGUACGUACAAGCAGUGGGAGCACAGAGCAAUCUGUGUGACUGCGUACCUUUUGUAUAAUGGGUCAGCGACUUAUAUUCUGUAGCAAGGUUAACCGAAUAGGGGAGCCGAAGGGAAACCGAGUCUUAACUGGGCGUUAAGUUGCAGGGUAUAGACCCGAAACCCGGUGAUCUAGCCAUGGGCAGGUUGAAGGUUGGGUAACACUAACUGGAGGACCGAACCGACUAAUGUUGAAAAAUUAGCGGAUGACUUGUGGCUGGGGGUGAAAGGCCAAUCAAACCGGGAGAUAGCUGGUUCUCCCCGAAAGCUAUUUAGGUAGCGCCUCGUGAAUUCAUCUCCGGGGGUAGAGCACUGUUUCGGCAAGGGGGUCAUCCCGACUUACCAACCCGAUGCAAACUGCGAAUACCGGAGAAUGUUAUCACGGGAGACACACGGCGGGUGCUAACGUCCGUCGUGAAGAGGGAAACAACCCAGACCGCCAGCUAAGGUCCCAAAGUCAUGGUUAAGUGGGAAACGAUGUGGGAAGGCCCAGACAGCCAGGAUGUUGGCUUAGAAGCAGCCAUCAUUUAAAGAAAGCGUAAUAGCUCACUGGUCGAGUCGGCCUGCGCGGAAGAUGUAACGGGGCUAAACCAUGCACCGAAGCUGCGGCAGCGACACUAUGUGUUGUUGGGUAGGGGAGCGUUCUGUAAGCCUGUGAAGGUGUGCUGUGAGGCAUGCUGGAGGUAUCAGAAGUGCGAAUGCUGACAUAAGUAACGAUAAAGCGGGUGAAAAGCCCGCUCGCCGGAAGACCAAGGGUUCCUGUCCAACGUUAAUCGGGGCAGGGUGAGUCGACCCCUAAGGCGAGGCCGAAAGGCGUAGUCGAUGGGAAACAGGUUAAUAUUCCUGUACUUGGUGUUACUGCGAAGGGGGGACGGAGAAGGCUAUGUUGGCCGGGCGACGGUUGUCCCGGUUUAAGCGUGUAGGCUGGUUUUCCAGGCAAAUCCGGAAAAUCAAGGCUGAGGCGUGAUGACGAGGCACUACGGUGCUGAAGCAACAAAUGCCCUGCUUCCAGGAAAAGCCUCUAAGCAUCAGGUAACAUCAAAUCGUACCCCAAACCGACACAGGUGGUCAGGUAGAGAAUACCAAGGCGCUUGAGAGAACUCGGGUGAAGGAACUAGGCAAAAUGGUGCCGUAACUUCGGGAGAAGGCACGCUGAUAUGUAGGUGAAGCGACUUGCUCGUGGAGCUGAAAUCAGUCGAAGAUACCAGCUGGCUGCAACUGUUUAUUAAAAACACAGCACUGUGCAAACACGAAAGUGGACGUAUACGGUGUGACGCCUGCCCGGUGC
This 1467-nucleotide ribosomal RNA is filed under the name Escherichia coli. RNAcentral describes it as "partial 23S ribosomal RNA". It matches the Rfam family "Bacterial large subunit ribosomal RNA", at positions 418 to 1869 of the family's 2925-position model. The record is from RNAcentral. Lineage: Bacteria; Pseudomonadati; Pseudomonadota; Gammaproteobacteria; Enterobacterales; Enterobacteriaceae. RNAcentral also lists the same sequence under 1 other name.